Molecule: long non-coding RNA, 963 nt
Filed under: Setaria viridis
Lineage: Eukaryota; Viridiplantae; Streptophyta; Magnoliopsida; Poales; Poaceae
Description: long non-coding RNA (SVIR_LNC003842)
Source: RNAcentral
AUGGCAAAAACUCAAGACUGUGGACUCUUAAAAGCUCUUGGCUGCCGCGAGGAUGCUCUCCACAGUGAUGCCGUACUCCUGGUAGAUCUUUCCAGCAGGAGCACUUGCACCGAAUUUGUCGAUGCCAAUGGCCUUGCCCUGGGCUCCGACGUACUUCUGCCAUCCGAGAGUAGACCCUGCCUCAAUACUGAUUCUCGCAGAAACAGACGCAGGGAGAACGCUCUCCUUGUAUUCAUCUGACUGCUCCUCGAAAAGCUCCCAGGAAACGAAUGACACAACACGGACGGUCUUCCCCUCCUUCCUCAACUCAUCAGCAGCCUUGGCAGCAAUCUCCAGUUCAGAACCGGUACCCAUCACAAUGAGGUCAGGCUUGUUGCCAGUUGAGUUGUCAGAGAUGGUAUAUCCACCCUUCUCAACACCCUCAAUUGAGGUACCAGGCAGAUUAGGAAGCUUUUGCCUGGAGAGAGCGAGAACAGAUGGCCUCUUCCUGUUGAGAACUGCAACUUUGUAUGCUCCAGCGGUCUCAUUACCAUCAGCAGGACGGAGCAUCAAUAUGUUGGGCAUUGCGCGGAAACUCACCAAGUGCUCAAUGGGCUGAUGGGUCGGACCAUCUUCUCCGAGACCAAUAGAGUCGUGGGUCAUAACAUAGAUAACUCCAGCUUCAGACAAAGCUGAGAUCCUCAUGGCACCUCUCAUGUAAUCGGUGAAGACAAAGAAAGUAGCACAGUAUGGAACAAACCCUGGGCUGUGCAGAGCAAUGCCAUUGCAAAUGGCACCCAUUCCGUGCUCCCUGACUCCAAAGCGGACAUUGCGCUCCUCAGGUGUAUCCUUCUGGAAGUCACCAAACAUCUUAAGCAAUGUCAUGUUGGAGGACGCCAGAUCAGCACUACCUCCAAUAAGACCAGGCACAACUUUAGCAAGUGCGUUCAAGCACUGCUGGGAGAGGUUCCUGGUGGCAUCUCC